Molecule: ribosomal RNA, 101 nt
Filed under: Ruminococcus sp.
Lineage: Bacteria; Bacillati; Bacillota; Clostridia; Eubacteriales; Oscillospiraceae
Source: RNAcentral
CAGAGGACACACCCGUACCCAUUCCGAACACGGAAGUUAAGCUCUGUAACGGAGAUGAUACUUGGUUGGAGACGACCUGGGAAAGUAUCUAAAUGCCGGCA